GUUAGUUUUGGGCGGGUUUUAGU
This 23-nucleotide microRNA is filed under the name Aedes aegypti (yellow fever mosquito). RNAcentral's name for it is "Aae-Mir-957_5p* (star (passenger))". The record is from RNAcentral. RNAcentral also lists the same sequence under 1 other name. Lineage: Eukaryota; Metazoa; Arthropoda; Insecta; Diptera; Culicidae.